Molecule: ribosomal RNA, 250 nt
Filed under: uncultured bacterium
Lineage: Bacteria
Description: partial 16S ribosomal RNA
Rfam family: Bacterial small subunit ribosomal RNA
Source: RNAcentral
GGAUGAGGUGGAGGCAACUCUGAACCAGCCAUGCCGCGUGAAGGAUGAAGGUCCUCUGGAUUGUAAACUUCUUUUAUAGAAGAAGAAACCCACGUUUUCUAAUGUGGUUGACGGUACUCUAUGAAUAAGCACCGGCUAACUCCGUGCCAGCAGCCGCGGUAAUACGGAGGGUGCAAGCGUUAUCCGGAUUCACUGGAUUUAAAGGGAGCGUAGGUGGGUUGAUAAGUCAGUGGUGAAAUCUCCGAGCUUA